CGUCCCCUAGGGGAUUCGAACCCCUGUUGCCGAGAUGAAAACCCGGUGUUCCUAACCACUAGACGAAGGGGAC
RNAcentral lists this transfer RNA (73 nucleotides) under uncultured bacterium MedeBAC49C08. RNAcentral's name for it is "tRNA-Glu". The record is from RNAcentral.